GACGAACGCUGGCGGCGUGCUUAACACAUGCAAGUCGAACGGGAUCCGGGCUUUCGGGUUUGGUGAGAGUGGCGAACGGGUGAGUAACACGUGAGUAACCUGCCCCCUUCUUUGGGAUAACGUCGGGAAAUCGGCGCUAAUACUGGAUAUUCUUGCUGCAUCGCAUGGUGUGGUUUGGAAAGGGUUUCUGGUGGGGGAUGGGCUCGCGGCCUAUCAGCUUGUUGGUGGGGUGAUGGCCUACCAAGGCUUUGACGGGUAGCCGGCCUGAGAGGGUGUCCGGCCACACUGGGACUGAGACACGGCCCCGACUCCUACGGGAGGCAGCAGUGGGGAAUAUUGCACAAUGGGCGCAAGCCUGAUGCAGCGACGCCGCGUGAGGGAUGCCGGCCUUCGGGUUGUAAACCUCUUUCAGUAUGGAACAAGGAUCCUUCUUGUGGGGGGUUUGAGGGUACGUGCAGAAGAAGCGCCGGCUAACUACGUG
RNAcentral lists this ribosomal RNA (481 nucleotides) under uncultured bacterium. RNAcentral's name for it is "partial 16S ribosomal RNA". It matches the Rfam family "Bacterial small subunit ribosomal RNA", at positions 28 to 507 of the family's 1533-position model. The record is from RNAcentral.